UCUCAGCCUCCUGAGACCCUUCCUCAGACUCUGCUGGGUGUUUGAGCCACUGGUCUGCUGCUUUAAGUUAUAGUGCACUGUGUGGAAUUACCCUCAUCUAAAGUCUAGACCUGCCCUGCCCAAUACAGUAGCAGUUGAGCACUUGAAAAGUGGCUGGUUCCUACCUAGGUGUGCUCGUGACUACCAGAAAAUUAUAAAUGACACAUGUGCCUCACAUUUGUGACUUGCAUUAUAUUUCCAUCAAACAGUCUGCCCGUCUAGACUGUGGAUUCAGCAGCCUUGGGUGGAGGUUGAUAGGAACCUGAAAGUCCAGUUCUGAAUGAGUUUCCCAAAGAGGUUGAAAAUUUGGGCACUGUCAUCCACUCUGGGCUUAUGUCUUCAAAGCGUCACAACCACAGAGAGCUCUUACUGAGAACAUCCUGGGAAAGUCUUUGACUAUGGUUGGGUCACAUGCCCAUCACUGAACCAGUCACCAUAGCCAAAAGGGGAUCAUCCCAACCCAGGGAUCAAGCCCAGGUCUCCUGCAUUACAGCAGAUGCUUUACCAUAUGAGCCACAAAGGAAAUAAACAUCAGAUCAGAUCAGUCGCUCAGUCGUGUCCGACUCUUUGCGACCCCAUGAAUCGCAGCACGCCAGGCCUCCUUGUCCAUCACCAACUCCCGGAGUUCACCGAGACUCACGUCCAUUGAGUCAGUGAUGCCAUCCAGCCAUCUCAUCCUCUGUCGUCCCCUUCUCCUCCUGCCCCCAAUCC
Molecule: long non-coding RNA, 750 nt
Organism: Bos taurus (domestic cattle)
Lineage: Eukaryota; Metazoa; Chordata; Mammalia; Artiodactyla; Bovidae
Source: Ensembl